This 468-nucleotide ribosomal RNA is filed under the name uncultured bacterium. RNAcentral describes it as "partial 16S ribosomal RNA". It matches the Rfam family "Bacterial small subunit ribosomal RNA", at positions 28 to 507 of the family's 1533-position model. The record is from RNAcentral.
GACGAACGCUGGCGGCGUGCUUAACACAUGCAAGUCGAACGGAAAGGCCCUGCUUUUGUGGGGUGCUCGAGUGGCGAACGGGUGAGUAACACGUGAGUAACCUGCCCUUGACUUUGGGAUAACUUCAGGAAACUGGGGCUAAUACCGGAUAGGAGCUCCUGCUGCAUGGUGGGGGUUGGAAAGUUUCGGCGGUUGGGGAUGGACUCGCGGGUUAUCAGCUUGUUGGUGGGGUAGUGGCUUACCAAGGCUUUGACGGGUAGCCGGCCUGAGAGGGUGACCGGGCACAAUGGGACUGAGAUACGGCCCAGACUCCUACGGGAGGCAGCAGUGGGGAAUAUUGCAGAAUGGGCGGAAGCCUGAGGCGGCAACGCCGCGUGCGGGAUGACGGCCUUCGGGUUGUAAACCGCUGUCGCCUGUGACGAAGCGUGAGUGACGGUAAUGGGUAAAGAAGCACCGGCUAACUACGUG